Molecule: long non-coding RNA, 2263 nt
Organism: Daucus carota subsp. sativus
Lineage: Eukaryota; Viridiplantae; Streptophyta; Magnoliopsida; Apiales; Apiaceae
Exons: 7
Source: RefSeq, a predicted model, not a curated record
AUUGCCUGGUAGUUAAUUCAUCCUAAAUUACAGCAAUCAUCUUAGUGUCACGCGGGUGACGAAAAUUCGAAUUUUUGUCGCCUCUUCUCACACUGUAAGAACCGUGAUCUGCAUUGCCCACCACGUCCUUUUCCUUCUUCUCUGACCUACAUCGUCGACUGACCUGAGAGAUGGAUGCAGGUUCACAGUUCCAUCACUUUUUCGAGUCUCCUGUGUUUCAGUGAUUGAUGUGCAUAUUCUUUGCAGCGUCUGCGCGAAAGAGAACCGCCCAAGGUCCUCAUUCGCCGUCUUCAACAAAUAAAGAUGGUAAGCGUCGUGCACAUGUUGAAAGAAUGGUCCGAAUGCAAACCAGAUUCCGGACGUAAGAGAACAGUGCUUGGACCGCACUCUCCUGCUUCAUCCAAAAAUGGUGGAUAUAAAUUUCUUGUGAUUCAGGUAGUCGAAUGCAUUCAACAGCACUCUCCUGCUUCUUCCACAGACGGCGGUGGCAUAAUUUUACAGGUCUGCUCAUUCCCUGAAUGCUUUGUUUUGUUCCCACUGUUAGUUGUGAUAUAUUGUUUCAUGUUAAUGUGGUUUUUACAUGGUAUUUUAUGGAUACUAAGCGACUGUUGAUGAUUCGAGUAAUCGGAUGCAUCCGAGAGCUUUAUUGUAGAGUUCUCUGGGAGGCAAUUGUGAAAAUUUAAUUCCUAAUACUGGACAUUUAACACUUGACUUAAAUGGUUCUACUUGGUAUGUAUAGACGUGUAAAUUGUGUUGCCAAUUUAUUGUGUCUUAGACGUCCGCACUAUGUGUUUAACAGUAUAUUCUGUCAGGGAAUAUCUAUAACAAAGUUCUGGGUAGGAUUUUGGAACAACGAGCAAGUACGAUUUAUAAGCAGCCUUCCUUUCUCUCACGUGCACACGCAGCACCACAAGUACAGCAACAGACUCCAUCAGAUGUAUGUUCGGAAAUCAUUCCAAUUGCAGAGCCAUCUCGCACUCGGACCUGGCAUGCCAACAUAGUGCAAUCUCACACCUACUCAGAGGCGUUUAAACCAUAAAUGUUAACCUCUCAGACAUGAAGUAUUGCCCAACUCAAGGAAGUAUUUGUUUCGUUUGUUAAGGAAGCAGUGGAGCUAUCAUCAGGUUUCAGUGUUGCUGAUAUGUAUCCUUCAGUAAAACUUCUUUAUGUGAUCAGUGGGAUUCGGUAUAGGCUAAAGAAGGUGCACGAAAAUAUGAUUAUGGUACUUGAAACUAUAAUCAAUGGUGAGUUUUCUACUUCUCAGUGUGAUUCCAUGAUUUCACAAGUGCAGAGUUCUAAUUGGUUGUUUUGUUAUAUGUUAAGAUUUUCAGGGCUUAUAUGUAUAUUGAUCUUCCUCAGACCAACCUGUUUGUCAUGAUUAAUGUUUUUUUUUAUCUGGUUAUAAUUUAAAACCAUGUUUGUAUGAUAUAACCGCGUAUGUUUUAAUUAAUUUUCCUCCAACCGCCUGAUUUCUCUCACAUUUUUAUUACCUUUCCAUCAAUUUAAAUUUUGAAUUCCUUAAUUAUUGGAGACAUGCUUAAUAUUAAACUAUGGAUAGUUGCUUAUUGUUUCAUCACAAGAUUCGGACGGAAGAGGACAGUGCUUGGACAUUAAUGAGGAAAGAAAGGGAUGGAAAUAGAAGAAACAUGAUCUCUUUGGCUUUGCCUUUGUUAGCAUUCUGCAAUAUUUCAGGGCACAAAGCUACUUGACCUGACUGUAAUUAUCACUCUGGCUCCCACUGCUUCAUUUCCACAUCUGGCCGCAGAAGACAGAGCUGCAACAUAUGAAGUUGACUCUUAUCUCACUAAAACAAAAGAUGUAUUUAGUAGCAUUGUUGAAAAGGAUUAUGUUCUGGGUAAAGCAUUAGCUGUCGGAACUUCCGACAAAGUUCAAAAAGUGGAUCAAAACUAUCAAGUCUCCCAGAAAGUUAAAUCGGCAGUUGCCAAAUCUGCUGAAUUGAGCAGCGAGUAUGCAUCCAUAGGGGCUUCAUGGGUGACGGUCACAUUUGAUUCAAUUGCCAAGGCUGCUGCAGAGGUUAGCCAACAUGCUAAGAAAGUGGCACUUGCCGAAGAGGAACAGAAAAGAAAAACAACUGGUGAAGAGGAACAGGGAAGAAAAACCAUGUAGUACUCUUUUGAAUUAUGCUUCCAACCCCUAGAUAGGCUCAUAUAGAAUCUAGCAUUUUCAAUCCAUUCUCCCCUGCCAAUGUACAACGCAACUGGUAAGGUUAAUCACUUUGUUGUUGUUUUUUUUUUAAAGUUGC